Molecule: ribosomal RNA, 467 nt
Filed under: uncultured bacterium
Lineage: Bacteria
Description: bacterial SSU rRNA
Rfam family: Bacterial small subunit ribosomal RNA
Source: RNAcentral
AACGAACGCUGGCGGCAUGCCUAACACAUGCAAGUCGAACGAGACCUUCGGGUCUAGUGGCGCACGGGUGCGUAACGCGUGGGAAUCUGCCCUUAGGUUCGGAAUAAACUUCGGGAAACUGAAGCUAAUACCGGAUGAUGACGUAAGUCCAAAGAUUUAUCGCCUAAGGAUGAGCCCGCGUUGGAUUAGCUAGUUGGUGAGGUAACGGCUUACCAAGGCUACGAUGGGUAGGGGUCCUGAGAGGGAGAUCCCCCACACUGGUACUGAGACACGGACCAGACUCCUACGGGAGGCAGCAGUGAGGAAUAUUGGACAAUGGGCGCAAGCCUGAUCCAGCCAUGCCGCGUGCAGGAAGAAGCAUCUAUGGUGUGUAAACUGCUUUUUGACGGGAAGAAACACUCCUACGUGUAGGAGCUUGACGGUACGUAAGAAUAAGGAUCGGACUAACUCCGUGCCAGCAGCCGCGG